UGCUUAGUACGGCGAGUGAGCGGCAAAAGCUCAAUUUGAAAUCUGGUACCUUUGGUGCCCGAGUUGUAAUUUGGAGAGUACCACUUUGGGACUGUACUUUGCCUAUGUUCCUUGGAACAGGACGUCAUGGAGGGUGAGAAUCCCGUGUGGCGAGGGUGUCAGUUCUUUGUAAAGGGUGCUCGAAGAGUCGAGUUGUUUGGGAAUGCAGCUCUAAGUGGGUGGUAAAUUCCAUCUAAAGCUAAAUACAGGCGAGAGACCGAUAGCGAACAAGUACAGUGAUGGAAAGAUGAAAAGAACUUUGAAAAGAGAGUGAAAAAGUACGUGAAAUUGUUGAAAGGGAAGGGCAUUUGAUCAGACAUGGUGUUUUGCGCCCCUUGCCUCUCGUGGGCUUGGGACUCUCGCAGCU
RNAcentral lists this ribosomal RNA (406 nucleotides) under Nakaseomyces glabratus. Its description in RNAcentral is "eukaryotic LSU rRNA". It matches the Rfam family "Eukaryotic large subunit ribosomal RNA", at positions 76 to 483 of the family's 3401-position model. Lineage: Eukaryota; Fungi; Ascomycota; Saccharomycetes; Saccharomycetales; Saccharomycetaceae. The record is from RNAcentral.